GAUUCCAACUAUCGCACAGACCAUAACAACAACAAUUAAAUCUGUGCCCAGUUAGAGUAAAGUCUAUCCAUUGUCCAUGCCAUUACAUGAACCCUGUAACCUUCCUGAAAAAAGAUGGUAUUCAUUUCAAAAGCCUCUGCUUUGAGCAUCAGGGUCAGAAAAUAAUGAAUCCCAUAUUUUAGUGCUCAACCUUUUGAAUGAACUUUCUGCUUAAUGUCUUUUCCUACAAUGCAGACUAGCAGGCUGACACUUAAUGAUGGUAAUGUCAGAUUCUUUUCAGAUGUGGAAAUUGUCUAAGCUUUCCAUUCACAAUGAAAUAAAAGAGAUAGAGGAACAGUGUGAGACUGUGAGAAAUCACAUGCAAAAUUCAAAAGGAAUUUGAACAGGAAGUCAGGGCAAUUACACUGGAUUUCAUAAAGGGUCGUAGUUAGAUUUGGUGAAUAAAGUCGGUGACUUAAAUCCAAACGUAACUUCGUGUUGGAAAAUUUGCAUGUGUUCAUGGUUUUUCAAUAGUGUCCACACACAGGGAUAGGAAAUGUGGACUGAAGAAGGAAAUAGCAUUUAUUUCCUUUAGUAUGAGCGUAAUACGAUGUAGCCAACAAGCAAGAGAUUAACACACUGAAAUUUGAUUGCGAAGAUCUUGAAACAUCUAAUCUGAGUCCAGUGUAUUGACAAAAUACUGUAAUGCUGCAUGAACAGUAGUAAUUAUUACAUUGAAAGAGAUAACGUGUUCAGAGCUGGUGAUUAGGACUAUUCAUCCUUAAAAAAGCAAUAUCUUCAAACAGACAAUACUAUUAAUUAAUCCUUAGUGUAACAUUUCUGUAUUUAAUAUUGGGGUUCUCUCUCUCUCUCUCUCUCUCUCUCUCUCUCUCUCUCUCUCUCUGUGUUAUUAAACCAUUAUUACUCAAGAAAACGCACUAAAGUUGAAGGUUAGAAUCAGCCGCUACUGAGACACACCGUUGCUUUUUCCAGCAAGUGUGCAUAACUCUCAUGCAACAUCUGAAUUGUGGUUAAACCUGUAGCCGUGUUCGACGUCUGAUGGCCGAUGUGCACAAUUUUGGUAUUAAAUAUUAACCACCCCUCACAGAGUAAGAUGUACACUACUCAGACUGAUUCUCAGUACGCUGUUAUAACAGUGUGUUCUUGCCAAUCUAAUCCCAGAAGCCCUGCUCCUCUGUUACCUGUAUCACCCUUAAUUUGUCCAUAAACAUAAUCACACAAGCAGACUGUUGUGAAUAUUUAAGGUUAGGUUAAGAGCCAUUAAAAAGCCAUUUCAUAAAGGUUGCCUCCAAAUAUAUUCAAAUGCCUGCAAUUCAAAACCAGCAGCGUGGCGUCGUUACCUACUGAGUCACUUCUGUCACUACUGCCUCAAAUCAUUCAGUGAAAGUAAUUCAUUAUUACAUGUCCCAGUAAAGAAAUCCUGUGGUAAAAUAUCCGCCAGCUGGAGUUUCCAGAAGAUUAUGGUUUAAUUACGGUAAUCAAGCAAAGGUAUUAAUAUGUUAACACACGCACAUAUUAUAAAUCUCAUUAGCAAAGAUGAACUGUUCAACCUUUCUUUCUUCUCUAAGAAUUACAAAUCCUUCUUCUAAAAUUCAAAAUGCAGUAACUAAGACGCAGUAGUUUGCAGGCUACAAUGGCCCCAGCAUUUAUCUAACAUACUGUAUGUAUAUUUUGUAUUUUCUACAAAUUACUUUGAAAAUAUAUAUAUUUUUUAAACAGAUCUUUUUUGUUUUUAAAACAUUUUGCACUACAUUUGACUGUCAUGCUCCUUAUGAUUUUGUAUAAUGUCUGAAUACAUAUCUUAUCUAUCAUCUAUAUUAUUUGUUCUUCAUAGAAUGCUUUAAGAAAGAAUGACCAGUGAUUGCGAAAUGCGUACAAUCCUGGGCAAAAAAUGGCCAAGCCCAAAAAUGGCUAAAUAUUAAGUUUUAAAUGGUCUUAACAACAAACCAUUAGUCAGAACAUUUCCAAGAAUGAAACAAACGCACUCCUGAGACCUCCUGUGCCACCAUUUGCUUGUUUACUUUCCCAAAUUAAGUUACUUUAAAUAUAUGGUUAAUUCUUGCUAAUUUCCUAACUAAUGAUUUGUUGUUAAGCCCAAUAAAAGCUUAAUAAUUUUUUGAAAUUUUGGGCUUGGACCAUUAUUAUUUUUGUGUAGUGUGAUUACAUUAUGCCAGUGUAGUUAAAAAAACAAACAAACAUACAGCAUGAUGUAGUAAAUGCUUAAAUUAAAUUGCAUUUGUGAUUCAUUUAAUUGCACAUAUUGAAUGCAAAUGUUGCAUUCAAGAAUGCUGGAAUCUUUUUUUAAAGCUCCAAUGUUGACCUAACCAUAACCCUUCGUCAUUCGUGAUCUGAGUUGGAGCCUGCAAACUGCACAAAGUUACAACUGGGUGAUCAUGCUGGAGUAACAACCAUGUUCAUUCACACGGUUCAUACAUUUUCAAAUUUGAAAAAAAGAUGUGGAAAAUCUGUACCAGUGAUAGCACUGCAUUUCAUACAAAAAAACUACUAUCGUUCACAUCACUUCUUUAUAACCUUUAUAGAGGUUAUAAAACCUAUUAUAUUUUCCACUUUUCUGAGAAUAUGUCUGCACACAGCACUCACAAGUCUACUCAAACCUUCCCUGGCUAAAACUGCCUCAGAAAAGGAACAAAUCAAUAUAUGAAAACAUACCCAUAUAAAAAGAAAUAAAGACUACAAUGAUGUAAAGGUGUGAAUCAACAUAAGCUGCUGCUUUAAUCCCCUCUUGGGUCACAACAAGCCGAGUUCCUGAAGCGUGCGGAGAUAUGAUGGAGAGAAAAGAGAGCUCAAGGCAAUAAAAAAUGGAUGGGAGAGGCUGAGGCAGAAUGCUUCUCUCUUUAUGAAUAUUUCAAAGCGCAAUGAAUCCUGUUAAAAUUACACCAAUAUGACUGUAUAACACAAAGUGACAAUUAGCAGCGCAUAUACAAUCUUGCUGGUAAUAUAUAAAAAGAAAAGGAAAAAAAACCCGUAAUUGCAGUAUUUUCACCUCGUAGUGAAUGGAGGGAAACAACGGACAAUAAAAUGAGUUAAAAUUAUUCAUAAAAAUGGCAUUUUCAUAUUGUCUUUUUAUUGCAAAGAAACCGGUGGCAGUAAGUGCAUUUUAAAUCAAAUCCACACAAAUCGGUGGGAGGACGUAUAUGGAGAAAUGCAUGCACACACAUAUACAUAGUGAUGAGAAUUGCAUCAUUUGAGUAAUUAGAGGAAAUCAGCUCUGUAAUUUUAUUAUACUGUAUAGGAGGGUUCACACAUGUUAGCUACAUUUCAGUAAACAAAAACGUAUGCAUUCAUAAGCAUUAAAAAGAUAUGUAUAAAAAAAAACAAAAAACAGAGAACCACAAGCAAUAGCACUUUGGCAAUAAUUCAGCUGGUCGUGUUUGGAGAAAGAAGGAUCGAGCGUACAAUCCCAAGAACACCAUACGCACAGUGAAGUACAGAGGUGGGCUACGGAGCGGCUUCUCCGUAAAUAAUACUGGGGCGUUACACGUCAUCGAAGGAAACAUGAAUGGAGCAAUGUCCUGGGACAUAUUAAAGGGGAAUUUAAUCUCAUGGUCCAAGAAACUAAAUCUUUGGAGAAGAUGGACAUUUCAACAAAUGACCCCAAACAUACAGCCAAAAUACUCAAGAAGAUCUUUUGAAUUGCGAGUUCAUCAGAGGUACUCUCAACAUAUUCCUUUGGGGAAUUAAAGCUGCUUUGCCAAGAGGAAUGUGCCAAAUUUGAACCACAUUGCUCCAAUAAGCUAAUUAUUUCUUACAGUAGGUGUCUGAGAAGCUGCAAUAGAUUUGCAACAAGGUACUAAUGUGUGGUGUGGUUAAAUAUAUCCUUGUUUAUGCUUAUGAAUACACAUUUUUUUUGUUCAUGAAGUCAAAAGACAUAAUGUGUGUACAUUUGAAGUGGAUUUAUGAAUCAGAUGUAUAUAAAAUAAUAAUAAAAAAAAAAGUCUAAAUACUUAUUUCCUCUAACUGUAACUGAGAAGGGAUCAUGAACUAUAGGCAGGUAUAUUUCUUGCUAGCCAGUCAGGGGGUUUUGACUCUUUGUCUUUAAUUUAUUUAUUCAUUUUCAUAUGGUUCAUUUACAUGUGAUUCAUUUACAUGUGAUUGAUUUACGUAUGAUUCAUUUACAUGUGAUUCAUUUACGUAUGAUUCAUUUUCAUGAGAUUCAUAUUCAUGAGAUUUAUAUUCAAGUGAUUCAUUUUCAUGUGAUUCAUUUAUGUAUGAUUCAUUUACAUAUUUGCUUCUCUUUGAAUCCAGUUUUAGAUAUUGUGAUAUUACAAAGGUGAUAUUACAAAGGUCUUUCCAGAUUAUUACUUGCUACGCUGUAUGAGAUAACCCCAGUAAAAUUGCCUGUAUUCUAUAAUAUAAUUUGCUCACCAUGUUAGGUUUAAAUCCUCUAAAAACAGAUUCGCAAUUAAAUAACAAAUUAAAUAACAUUACAUCCUUCGAAGCAUUGCCAUGUUUCGCUUACUCUCACAAUCCUUGAUUUUGGGAUUUUGACUCUUUAAGUUAAACAGCUCAAGUCAAUUUGACCUGCAACAUCCCUGCACUAACACACCUAGUAGUUAAACCUGAUAAUUAUCUAGUAAAUUCACUUGUGUAUACGUGUAGACCCGACUGAAAUUUGACCUUACCAAACCACGUUUGGUUACUGCUGCUAUAGACUGAACGUUGUCUUCUCCGAACUUAUCUCAUCCAAAACGCCAUUUUCUAUAUUGACCAAAAACAACAGAGGCACUAUCUCUGCAGAAAGAAAGAAAAAAAAAACAAUUCUCUGGGAAAACUGAUUAAUAGAAAAUUACAGUAAUUCAACAGCGCUGAAAAUAAAUGAGUGUUAUCUGUGGGUGGGGUGGAAUGAGGUGGGAGAGUGCUGUUUAGUCUCAGUUGACACACUGGGAAGAGUAAACAAGAGAGAGAGAGAGAGAGAGAGAGAGAGAGAGAGAGAGAGAGGAGUCACCUUGUCAUUUGAGUAAAAAAUUGGAUGGCUGUUAAAGGGACAAAUGGGAGACCAAAGGCAAUGUGACAUUUUAUCUGUUUACAUAAAUUUACAUAGAAUUCUGUGCCAAAAUAAACAACAGUAUGCAUACCUAUUUGCAUAUCUAUUAACUCAACCAUAAUAUGAUUUCGAAGAAGCUGACCAGAUCAUAUGAAUCGCUAAUAUGAAUCAUUUCAACAUGAUUCAGCACCGUAAAGUAAGGAUUCAACAUUAGACGUACAAGAGUAAAGAGCGUAAAGGAUGAUUCACACCAGACAUGUUUCUGAAGCGUUUCUUUGAUUUCCCCUCAAUGCAUCAGACAAAUUUGCCUCCAUGUUAUCUAGUGUUUCAGUACACUGCAUCAGGCUCCAUCAAUAUAGUGUUACAGGUUUGUCAAACUCAAGCCUACACACCACCGUUGCCUUUGUUUCACGCAUCACCAGCAAGUUUGUAAUAGACGUGUGAAGUCCAUAGAAAGCCACUGGAAUCACAAAACGUUUCUAUAGUCUGUGAACUUUAUUUCAAUUCGUGAUUUACAAAUAUGACACGACUGUAUAUAAGGUAGCAACAUAGCAAAGUGUUUGUAUGGAAUGUUAGCUUCGGAAAGAAACGGCUAAUUUCUGUAUUUGUAACCAUCAUUAAUCUCUAUCAACACUGAUUAUGUACAAAAUGUUCCAAGGACAACUUUAUAUCUGGAUCUAACUGCAGGUUGAGCUUGUUUUUAUUGAAAAUAUUGUAUUGUACUGUAAAUAUUACCCUGUAUGGUUCAAACCAAACAUAUUUCAACCUUCACCAUCUGCAUAUACAGUACACAGUAAACCUCCUUCUAGUACCUUAAACCUGGACUAGCCAGCUUCUAAUAUGGAAUCAGGUAGCAGGUGAUGGAUCACUUCAUAUUCUACGAGAGGUGUGUGUAGGUGUGGUGGAAAUGGCAAUAGGCUGAAAUGAUUCAGUUUGCUGACUCACGUCCUACAUCGUGUUGUUGAUUCUUUGAAUUUGAUAACAAAAGUCUGUGUCCUAUUAAGGUUCUACUCGCAGCAAAACCCAUAAAAAGUACACCUCGAGUUAUAAAAUUGUAAACGUAUCUUUCUAUCUGAAUCUUUACCCUUGUCAUCAAGGCAUCAGGGCAUGGUGGGAUUUUAGGAUUAAAGACAGAUAAAUCAAGCAGAAGCAUGGGUUGGCUCACCUGCUGGCAGGAGGGAAUGACUACGGCUAUAAAACUGGAUUUGAGCCCAUGAAUUUCUAAAGCGCAUCAAAAAGGCUGGAAAUACCAUUACACUCUCAGCUCUCUUUGAUGACCGAGUCUAGAGAUUUGGGGAUUUUCAAGCCAGUUGCUGGACAACUAGAUUAGCCCUUCAGCCAGGACGUGGCCAGAAUGGUUGACUAAAGAUAUGCACAAUGUUCCUUAGUUUAAUUAACCAUGCAAUCUCCAGACUGCUUCGCAACAGGCCUAUAUGCUAUUUCUUCAAAGCCAUAACAGGUCGUCUGGGCUCGGAAAAGAGACAGAAGCCCACGGGGGGGAAGUUGAGACAGGAGAGCCCUUUCCAAAAGCUUGGCUCCUUCUCCACCUCCAUAUCCAACACACGUUUUUUUGUGCCAACUCAUUAAGGGUUUGGCACUGAAGGACGAAUGCGCAUUCUCCGACUUCUGGGUGUCUUCCUCACAUUUGGUGAUUUGAUUUUAUUUAUUUAUUUUCUGUCCCUGUCACUGUGGUGUUGUCGCAUGGAUGCAUAUGCUCCCUCCCACGCAUGAAAUGAGACUCUGUCAUCAGCACACUCAUAGAGAACAAUCUCCUGGACACCAAGCAGUCUGGCUUCAAAACCAGUCACUCCACAUAAAUUGCUCUGCUUUCUGUCACUGAAGCAUUACGACUAGCAAGAUCAACUGUCCUCAUCCUACUCAACCUUUCUGCUGCCUUUAACACUGUGAAUAAUCAGAUCCUCCUGUCAACUCUCUCCAGCCUAGGCAUCACCAGAAUGGCUCUGUGCUAUCUCUCAGACAGAUCCUUCAAGGUAUUGUGGAGAAGAAGGGUUUCUGAAACUCAGCAACUCACAACUGGGGUUUCCCAUGGGUCACUGCUCUUUUUUCUAUUUAUACUACGUUUCAGGGGCCUGUGAUUGAGUCUCAUGGCUUCUCAUAUCACUGCUACGCUGAUGACAUUCAGCUCUAUUUGUCUUUCCAGCCUGAUGAUCCAUCCUUCUCAGCACGCAUCUCUGCCUACCUGACUGACAUCUCAAACUGGAUGGGGGAACGCCACCUUAAGCUCAACUUUGCAAAAUCUGAGCUUCUCUUCAUCCCAGCCUGCCCCUUAAUCAACUACAACCUCACUGUACAGCUCGGCUCAACCACAGUCGAGCCAACCAGGACAGCCAGGAACCUUGGGGUGACUUUCGAUGACAACUUGACCUUUACAGACCACAUUUUAACAACUGCAUGAUCCUGUAGGUUCAUUCUAUACAACAUCAAGAAAAUCAGACCUCACAGUUCUCACUGAACAGACUACAUAACUACUAGUCCAGGCUCUUGUCAUAUCAAAACUGGACUACUGCAAUGUACUACUCUCAGGCCUCCCAGCUAGCUCCAUCAAACCCCUUCAGAUGAUCCAGAACGCAGCAGCACCCCUCGUCUUCAACCAGCCCAAGAGAAUCCAUGUCAUACCCCUCUUCAUCUCCCUCCACUGGCUUCCUGUAGCCGCCCGUAUCAAAUUCAAGGCCUUGAUGCUCAUGUACGAGACUUUGUCUGGAACAGCACCCCUCUACCUCAACACUCUCCUUGAGGUUUAUGUUCCCUCAUGCAACCUGUGAUCAGUUAAUGACCGACACCUUGUAUAGUGUCUAGUCAGCAAGGCAUAAGGUCCCUUUCCAAAACCUUCACACUAACUGUCCCUCAGUGGUGGAAUGAACUUCCAACCUCAACCCGGACCACAGAAUCUGUCACUAUCUUCAAAAAACUGCUAAAGACCCACCUCUUCCGUGAACACCUAACUAACCCCUAACUAAAAAAAUAUAUUCUGCACUUACAUUGGCUCUUACACCUCUACUCUGCAGACAAUUCUCUGGAACUCAAUUAAAAAUCUUAUAUGGUAACUUGUAUUGUUCACCACUUGAUAUAUCGCUUUGCUUGUAUUUCCUCAUUUGUAACUUGUUUAAGAUGAAAGCGUCUGAUAAAUGAAUAAAUGUAAAAUGCAAAUAAUUGUAAAAUUGUGUCAUUAUGAAGAGGCAAUAUCAUCAGGUAUCACAGAUUUAUUCAUUUACACACAGUAAUAUAUUUUGCCACUGAUCCGUACAUAGGAUAUGUAUUUCUGUAUAUAUUCUGUAUACAAAUGUAUACAUUUCUUAGAUAGAAUAUAAAAGUCUGCCAUCUUUAAUUCAUCUUUACAGUGGAAUUCAAACCCCGCUAACACACGGUGAGGCCAGAUUCCAAAUAAAUUCCUAAUCACAAUGCACAUUCAACACAUAAAAUAUAACACAAUGCCCCCAUAGAGCUUCCAGUACA
Long non-coding RNA from Ictalurus punctatus (channel catfish), 8479 nucleotides. The record is from Ensembl. NCBI's taxonomy places the organism in Eukaryota, Metazoa, Chordata, Actinopteri, Siluriformes, Ictaluridae.